AUGACCUCUCCAUCUCAGCUCUCUGCCACAAACAGCGCCCUCACCACCGUCACGGCUCCUGCAUCCCCGGCCUCCAACGCAGUGCAUGUGGCCAGCGUCAAGACCCAUGUCCCCGUCGUCCUCGACCUCAAGGCGUCGAACUUUACCAAGUGGCGCAUGCUGAUCACCGUUCUCUUGGGCAAGUACGACCUCAUCGGCCAUAUAGCUGCCGCUACUCCGGCUGCUGAUCGCACGCCAGAGUGGAGCCGCGAGGACUUCGUCGUCCGCUCGUGGUUGUACGGCUCCAUUAGCGACGACAUCCUGGAUAUUAUCAUGGCGGAAGACCAGACGGCGCACGAGGCGUACACGCUCAUCCAGAACUUGUUCCUCGACAACCAGAUGACGCGCGCUGUUUAUCUCGAGGCGGAGUUCCGUGCCAUCGUUCAAGGCGAUCUCACCAUCACCGCCUAUUGUCACCGGCUCAAAUCCCUCUCUGAUGCACUCCGCGACGUCGGCCAGCCGGUGUCGGAUCAGACCUUGGUCUUGACGUGCCUACGUGGCCUCAAUUCUCGCUUCGCCGACAUCACCACUCUGGUCACCAUGCAGGUUCCGUUCCCUACGUUCCUGCAGACAAGGUCUCUCCUUCUUCUUCGUGAGACGCAGCUCUCGCACACCAUGCCUACGCCACCGCCGCAGACCGCCAUGUACGGCCACGGCGCCGGUGCCUCCUCUGGCGGUGCCUACAAUGGAGACCGCUCCUCAGGUGACCGCAACUCCGGCGGCAACGGCGGCCGCUUCCAGAAAAAGAAGAAGAACGGGGGCGUCGGUCACUACCGUGGCAACGGUGGCGAGCGUAACCACAACGGCGGUGGCUCUUCCGGUACCCACGCUGCAGCUGGUCCGUGGAUCUGCUUCAACCCCUACACGGGCCAGGCCCAGCCGCUGCCGGUCUCCUGGCGCCCCGCUGGUGGAGCAGGCCUUCUUGGACCGCGGCCUGCUGCACCCCAGCGCCCGUACCAAGCGUAUACUACGCUGCUCGCUCCACUCCAUGGGCAGGCGUACGGCACUGACCCACCGCCACCGGGUACACCCUCCAGCCACGGCGCUCCAGCUUGGGACUGCUCGGCGCUCAUGGCUGCCCUAAAUAAUGCUGCUGCAUCAUCUUCA
Molecule: ribosomal RNA, 1146 nt
Filed under: Triticum aestivum (bread wheat)
Lineage: Eukaryota; Viridiplantae; Streptophyta; Magnoliopsida; Poales; Poaceae
Description: partial small subunit ribosomal RNA
Source: RNAcentral